CUUGCAGUAGAAGUAUUCCGUCUGACUCUGAUCGAACUUGGAAUUUUUUGGUCUAACUGGGUUUGGGUGCCCUAGCAUUUUAUACCCUUUCUUAAAGGGUCAACGUCCAGAAGAAGACCCUCCCACAAUAUUCACCGACUCCUUUUGGAGCUGGUGAUCCUUCUCAAAGUUUUGCAGCAAUUCCAGCAAAUCGUGGUAGUUAACUGCAGGCUUUGUCAUUCAAAAAUAAGUAAAGAAAGAAAGGUAGGACUUGGGAAGAGAG
This 262-nucleotide long non-coding RNA is filed under the name Elaeis guineensis (African oil palm). RNAcentral's name for it is "long non-coding RNA (EGUI_LNC059069)". Lineage: Eukaryota; Viridiplantae; Streptophyta; Magnoliopsida; Arecales; Arecaceae. The record is from RNAcentral.